GGAUCAAGGCAGUGGAUUGUGA
RNAcentral lists this transfer RNA (22 nucleotides) under Baccharis trimera. RNAcentral describes it as "partial tRNA-His". The record is from RNAcentral. Lineage: Eukaryota; Viridiplantae; Streptophyta; Magnoliopsida; Asterales; Asteraceae.